GGAUCAUACUGCACUAUCCAGUCCUACAUGAAAGGAGGAAGAGAAAGAGGUUCAACGUUAACCAACUGAUAAAGAUAACUCUCAUGGUAUGCUUCUAGCCGAGAUUAAUUAGACUAGUUUUCUUGAUAAGGACCUCUGCUAGUAAAACUCAAAUCUAUCUUACCCUCAAUCCAUCUUUGUAAAGAUGGUUCAUAACAAAAUGCUAGACUAACCUACUGUUCUGAAUCUUUUUUAAGUAGGCCAGCUAAUGCUAGAUUAGAUGUUUGCCCUCUAAUAAUAAUACAAGGGGGAAUGCAUAGCCUCUGACAGAACUCCAUGUUCAAAAUUUUAAGGCAAAUAAUUUUCCAAACUUUCCCAAAAGCUGCUCUAGAUUUGUAAGUUGUAACUAAUUGCCAAAAACUUUAGUUCAUUGGUUUUCAAUGUAACAACAUAUGUCCACUAGAGGAAAGAAAAUACUAAGCGCACAUUUCCAUACUGUAAUACAACUACUGCAUCACAGUGUUAUGCUCCAUUCAUUACAAACAUGCUCUAAUUUCAUUAAUUUCAAAAUCCCUAUCCCUUGCCUUCUGCACUGAAUUCCUACUGAUUAACAAAUUUCUCCAUUAUUUAAGAAACAUAUUGCAACUACAAGUCUAAAUUCCUACAUUAAUGUUAUUAAACUUCUCUAGAGAGUGACUUAGGAGGCAGAAGAAGCAGUUUGGCUUCUGCAAUGAGCAACACAAAUUGCAUGUAUGCAAAUAUAUAAAAAUACAAUAUUGAAAAUACUGACUAAAACGAUUCAAUAACAAACGCCAACAAAAAGAAACACCAAAUUUACCAAAUGUAGUAUACUGAGGUCACCAUUACAACAGUUACAAGAGAGAACAUUAAAAGCAUAAGAAUCAUAGCCAGAAUAGCAAGUCAUGAAUCACUUGAACUCUUGAAGAAAGAUGCAUACCACAGCAGGAAUAUCAAGUCCACGAGCAG
This 966-nucleotide unclassified non-coding RNA is filed under the name Hevea brasiliensis (rubber tree). The record is from RNAcentral. Lineage: Eukaryota; Viridiplantae; Streptophyta; Magnoliopsida; Malpighiales; Euphorbiaceae.